Molecule: long non-coding RNA, 719 nt
Organism: Alexandromys fortis (reed vole)
Lineage: Eukaryota; Metazoa; Chordata; Mammalia; Rodentia; Cricetidae
Exons: 3
Source: RefSeq, a predicted model, not a curated record
GGCUCUUUCUCAUUGAUGGGGAGAGUGCCACUUAGUACUGCCAUCAUGGAGAACAUCCAGCACUUAAACAGCAAACCAAAAGAACCAUUAGUAAGUCUCAGGGAGUAAGGAGCCUAACAGCUGACUGUCGGUGAGUGGACAGAGACAAGGCAGCUCUCCUGCUCUUUCUCGGUUGAUGCUUCCAGCAAAAGGAGUGGCCAAGAAGAAAGGUGUGCUUCCUCACCUCAAGAUCCGGAUUAAAGGUGUGUCUUCCCACCUCAGAGAUCCUGAUUGGAAGUGAUUCUUCCCACUUCAAAUGAAGCAAAAAUCCCUCACAAGUGUGCCACUCCAUUUUCGGGUUUUAGUUAAUUCCAGUUGACAACCAAGAAUAGCCAUCACACUGUCCUACAAAAACUCUUACAAAGAUAUUUGGUGAUCCUGGAGCUACCGACACUGACCCGAAAGAGCAGAAAAUGAGAAUGCAAACCAGACCCGGAAGGAGGCCUUUCAGGAACUGUCCUGGCUUGGGUCCACCAGCGACAUCUCCCGUUGUCCACACUCGCUGGCGUUCAGACUCUCUCGCCAUCACCACUUCCUCCAUUGCCACAUUUCAAAGAGAGCAGAGCAGGUCCUGGGACCUCUCAGGCUGUCUGCGGUCAGCAUCAAAUGGGAAGCAUUACUGCACUGCUGGGAAAGUGCCAGCAUGAGCUGCGGUUUGAAAGGGACUGGGGGCCAGAAAA